CCGCCUCAUAUGCCACAUCUAGAACACGAGUCCAAAGAUCUCUAUGCAAUUCUUGCUCCACAGUCCCAAAGAACGAUCUUAUGUGUUCUAGGUCUUCUUUCACCCGACUGAUUUCUUCUUUUAUUAAAGCAACUGAAUAAGCAUUGGAAUUGAGCAAGUCAUUUAAGUUUCUGAGUAGGAAAGUCAUGAAGAGUGGUCCAUCACUCAUGUGGAAGCAGAGCUGUGAUGAGUCUGCAGGGGCUUUCAAGAAAACAUUCUUGAGAUCUUCCUUCAGGACGUCAAUAACUUUCAGCAAGUUUAGACUUGCACCGCUUGCUUCCUUCAUAUUCUCUUCAUUCCUUGAGUUCUCUUCUAAGUUGCGAACAAGAACGAAUACCUCCUUGGUAAGUGCUCCAACACGUUCCAAGAGAACAAACAAUUUUUCAUGACGAAUAACGUCCUUGGACACAUCAGUAAAAAUAAUCAAUAGGAACUCUAUCAUGACAUGAAUAUUUAGAGCUGAGGUGCUAGGAGUAAUAGCAUUAACCAUGUGCUGUUGUAGAUGAAUCAGAUAUUCUCUAAGAAUGUCUGGAGAGCCUUCUAGGAGCUUCUUAAUGAAGCGUCCAACUUCAGCUGACUUUGAAGCUUUCAAAUUUGUAGAACAAAUGUACAUAACUUCCAGUGAAACUGGAAUUAUCUUCAAAAGUAGAUGGACUAGCAUGGAAUUGACGAGAGAGACUUCAAUGAUCUGUUUCAUCUGCUUGGGUCAUUUGUCUUAUGCUCAAUACAUUCUGAAGAAGCUCAUAUUGAGUCAUUGGUGGGAAAAUCAACUCAGCACAAAGCUUGGGUAGAUAAUGGAGAUUCACAAGGAUCCCGUCCAAAAGUUCAACCAACUGAUCCUCAGUAAUGGCCGCACUUGAUUCAGAAUGAUGAUUUGAGAUGAUAGAACUUUUGAUAUUUUCAAGAAGGCGAGGAACGACAUGAUCCUUUAACUUAACCAGCAUGUCAUCUCCACUCUGAUGAAAAAGUGACAGAACCAGAUCAUGAACCUCAUAUGAUAUGCAAGACAUUUCGGCAUCAGAACCAACCGAAAUGUAAUAACAAAGCUGCAAACUCGCCGACAAAAAUGUCAGCUCCAGUUUCAGCUUUUCAAUUUGAUCCAUAUCAAGAACAAUUUGAUCCUCUUCAGUCUUUAACCUCUCUUUGAAAUCAUGAAGAUUGACAAUGUCUUCGUGAAACACAGCAGAUGAUACCUGCUAAAAGACCAAAUGUGCAUCAAAAUUUUCAGCUCACAUAUUCGCCAUUACAAAUUUUACUCUAACUUAAUGGGGCAACUAACGUAAAUAUAGAGGUUCUUCUUCAAAAUAACCUACUGCAUAAGCUAAAUGUUUGUCCUAUAGUUACAUUUUAUAUGAUAAACAAGAGUUAGAUUUCUCAGAAGGUGACUCAACUAAUGAAAAUUGUCCGAGAAAGUCACUAGUCUUUGUUUUGUAGUAGAAAAACCACUCUAAUUUUACCAUUUCACCUACAAAGUCACUCUACACAUUCAGGUGGUAUUCAACUGGUUUUAGAUUAUGUGUCAGCCUUUUAUAAAAUAAAAACUGUCAUUAAAAGUAUUUUACUGACCCACUCCAUGACGCGACCAGCUAACCAAUUUGCACUUUAGUUACUUGGAUUGCCUAGGUCCCUUAACUGCUACUGUUAAUUUCUCCAAGUGGAAGUUUAGCUCAACAACUUUGCCACUCAGUUAGGCAUCGAAUUUUGGGGGUGAAUGUGUCUAGUGCAGGUACAUUAUCAAUAGACCACUCUAAAGGGGAAGUCAUCCUAUGGAUGUCAAGAACCGUCGUGUGAUCAAUGGCACCCCAAAUUUUGUUUUGGUUCAAAAAUUGAAUUACAAAAUUGACAAAACUCAUAAAGCAAGCAUGUCAAUAAAGAAUUUCUACUGAUCCGUCCGUUCACAUAUAUACUAGUUUGUUACUCGGUGCACUGAAGAAGUAUAUUAACUAGUACAGAUGAUUUUAUACCAAAUCGAAGAAAAAGAAUACAUAUAUUGAACAUAGUCAUUUGAUUUUCAACACUGUUUGGGGUUCUUAUCGUCUUUGGGGUUGAGUUAGGCCAAGUGCCAAAUCGUUACAAGCAUUAUUUUGCACAUCAAACCCAACCAUAAAAAGGACACGUUACCCAAAUUGAAUCCCAGCGCUUAAAACAACUUAUUCCACAGGAAAACAAAAUCAUUUUUCUUAUAUACAAACUACAUGAAAUUUUUUUAAAAAAAGAUGAUUAACAUGUUUAAGUCGAUUAAGCUCCAAAAAAAAAAAAAACAAGCAUACUUACAAGACUUAAUUAUGUCUUAAUGAAAAAAAAAUAUAAACAAAUAUUGUAUAACAAUACCGAUGAGCUGUUUGCUUCUCCGUUCUCUCUUUUGCCUUUAUUUUUCUUUUCUCUUUCCAUGUAUGUAGUUUUUCCUUUCAAAUUGUCAAGAUCUGAUCAUAUAUAAAAAGUACAUAAACCUUUAUCAAAAGAGAACAAGUAGAAAAAAAACACACAAGAAACUCAAGAUAUCUACAACAACAAUAGACCUUAUCUCUAUCUCGUGAGGGCAAAAUAUGUACGAACCUUAUCUGUAUCUCUUGAAGGUAGAUAAGUUAUUUCCAAAAGAAACUAGGCUCAAAACAGAUUUUAAGAAAAUGUAGUUAGGAUGGCAACAAAGCUUGGACAAGUUACAACAUGACUUCACAAGUCAAGCUAGUACUGCCCAGUGUACCAAAGGAAUUUAAUUUCUUCUCCCCAUUAGUUGACCUGUAAAAUUCCUCUUUUGUCAUUUGCAUUACCCAAUAAUUGAGUAAUCUAUGAUUUGCUUAUUUUAUUUUAUUUUUUAACACAAUAGGGUGUAAAUCACUAAAAAUAAAAAGUGAGUGUUGUUUUUUUUCUUUCCAAACAUUACUAAAACUGGCAAUUUUAGAGUCCCAUAGGGGAAUUAUGCUUCCUCCACUAUUGAAAGAGUUCCACAUAUUAACUUGAUGUUGUUAACAGCUUGUACAUUGAGGCCGGUCUAAGCUAAUUAAUGGGUUGUAAAAAGUGAUUCUUGUUCUUGCUCUAUUCGUUCUUUCUUGUUAAAUUUUGACUUGAAAUAUUUAUUAAGAAAAAUAAUUAUUGACGUAGCUAUUUUACCAUGAUAUUCCCUAUUAAAUGAUGUUUCAUAUUAUGUCUUGAAAUUAAUUUGAAAAAAAUGCAACUAAUGCAAAGGGUAUAAUAGAAAAAAAAAUUGUUUUUUCUUAAUUUCUCAAAAAUGAAAAAUAAAAAUAAAAUAAAAUUAAAAAUAGUAACAAAUAGAAACGAACGGCAUCGCUCACUUAAGUGUCAUUCAUUUUCGGGGCUUGUUGAUUCGGCAGGUGAGUUGUUAUAUACUCCUAGCAGAUUUCGACUUCCAUGAUCACCGACAUGCUGUCUUAAUCAACCAACACCCUUUGUGGGAUCUAGGUCAGCGUGCAGUUUGGCACCGUAACCCGACUUUCAAUUCAUCCUGCAUUACCAGUUCUGCUUACCAAAAAUGGCCCACUUGGAUGUGUUGUACUUCCUCCAAAAUAGUUGACCUUCUUUCUAAAAUUACUUGUUUCAGUUUAGUUAUUUCAUUUAUAAAAUUAAAAGAAUUUUAUUACGUUCUUUUAAUACUACUCUUAUUACAUUAGUUUAGUAUAUACAUAGGGUAUGGGUAAAUUUAUACCGUCCCUAAGUAGUAGUAGUAUAAUUUAUUUUUUUUUAAACAAAAAAAUUCAACAUGACCUUGUGGUUUCAAACCAAGACUUGAAAAAAAGUGAAGGACCAAGUUGCUGGAAAGAAUUGAAGGAAAGGUAUCUUUUAAGUCUUAAAUGAAGGAUUGGUGACAUUGACCAACUUAAAGGAUCAAACAUCAUUAGGAAACUUGAUUAAGUUAAUUGUGGAAUUGAUUAAUAUUUUCAACACUUUCUAAUCUUUUCAAAAAUACAAAUCAACCGAACCCACACCCCUCUUCAAUCCAAAUCAACCAGUCUCUCUCUCGACAGCUUCUUUCAACUCUCGCCCAACCAACAGUUCUGCAAAAUUUCUCCUAUCAAUCCUCAGCAACUUCAACAUUCGACGACAAAUAGUUGGGCUUCGAGUUCCUUUUCGUCUUCAACCUUUAAUUGACUUGACAACCUUUCUCUCUGGCCACAACAGCUUUGAAGUCUUUGUUUCAAUCGACGUGACAGCCUUGCUCUCCGAUCACAAUAGCUUCGAAUUCAUCAUCGCUCCUUUUCUUCUUUCGCAGGUAAAAAUUUAUGGCCUUUUUAGUUUUGAGGAAAACGAGGAACUUGAGCCAACUUCUCUUAUAGUAUUGAUUAACAAUUUUAAUAUUUGUUGUAUUAAUUUGAAAUGCGGUCUAAACAAAACCCUAAUUUCUGGUAUUUCUUCUCUUAUUUUUUCAAAGUAAAUUAUGUUUUUUUGUUGUUUGUUGCAUUGUUUUGAAGUUUGAUUUUUAUUGUUUGUGUUUGUAAAAGCAAAACAACAAUUUGGGUUGAUUUGUUCUGUUCUUGUUCUUGGUAAAAAUGGUGAUAUUGCUGUUUUUUUGUUGAACAAAAUCGUGCUACUAUUUUUUAUUUUCUCCAACAGAUUAUCCAUCUGGUGCAACAUAUUAACCAUCUGAGGCAACAAAUUUAUCAUAUGAUGCAACAGCUCAAUCAUCUGAUACAUUAAAGGAACCAUCAGAUUACAUCUCUAAUGCAAUAGAUUAAUCAUCUGAUGCAAUAGAUUAAUCAUCUGAUGCAAUAGAUUAAUCAUCUGAUGCAACAGAUUAACCAUCUGAUGCAACAGAUUAAGCAUCGGAUAAAAAAUCUGAUGCAACUAAUUAACCAUCUGAUGCAACGAAAGAACCUCCUGUUGGAUAAAAGCCUAUCAACUCUUCCAACAGGAAAUAUCCAAGACUUGAUUUUUCCAACUGAUCAUUCAUCUACCGCGAUAGAUGACCCUAUGUUGGAAGAAAUCUAAACAAUAUUGACCGUUGAUAACUAUUCCAACAGAUCACUUAUAUGUUGCAAUAUAUGUGUGACUUAUUGCACAGACCAUUCAUCUUUCUCAAUAGAUAAGUGAUAUAUUUUAUAUUUUCGCAACAGAUUACUCAGCCGUUGUUAUAGGUAGGUCAGUUAACUGUCUCGAUAGAUCAUAUAUUUCAACAGAUGUGUGGUCUGGUGUACAAACCAUUCAUCUUUCUCAACAGAUAAGUGAUAUAUUUUUUUUGUCGCAAUAGAUUACUCAGCCAUUGCUACAAGUUAUUCAACUGUUCUAACAGAUCACUCAUAUGUUGCAACAGAUGUAUGAUCUACUGCACAGACCAUUCAUUUGUCUUAAAAGAUGAGUGAUAUGUUUUGUAUUAUUGCAACAAAUUACUCAUAUGAGAGGAAGUGUAGAUCACCCAUAGGUUGGUUCGAGGUGGGUGAAGCGGCUGUGAGUGGUCCUGAUUCGGUAUUUGAGGCUAUGGAAAAAGUUAAGUUGAGUAGGGAAAAGUUGAAAACUACACAGAGUCGUCAGAAGUCAUAUGCGGAUGUUAGAAGGAGAGACCUUGAGUUUGAAGUUGGUGACCUAGUGUAUCUGAAAAUUUCACCCAUGAGGGGGAUGAAGAGAUUCAGAAAGAAGGGAAAUCUUAGUCCCCGUUAUGUUGGUCCUUACAAAAUUCUUAACCGUGUCGGUAAGGUAGCUUAUGAGGUCGAGUUGCCUUCUGAGUUGUCCUCUGUUCAUCCAAUAUUCCAUUUCUGCAUGCUUAGAAAGCAUAUUAGCGAUGCUGUGGUAGUGGAUUCCUCUGUGAGUGCUGACAUUCAAGAAAAUCUUUCUUUUGAUGAGAUUCCUGUUGAAAUUCUUGAUUUCAGUGUCCUAAGACUAAGGAACAAAGAAGUUCCCUUGGUCAAGGUAUUGUGGCGAAACCAAUCUAUUGAGGGUGCAACUUGAGAAGCUAAGGCGGAUAUGUGAUCCAAGUACCCGCACCUAUUUUUCGCGAACUCCGAUCAAGCCGAAGGUACCGUUCUUUCCUAAAUCAUGCACUUUUGAUAAAAGUUGCAGCAGUUCAGCUGUCAUUUAUUAUGUGUUCAUCUGUAGUUUCUUGAAUCUAUGCAUUCUAUGUUGCAUUCGAAGUGAGAAACGAUGUGGUGAUGAGUCUAAUGAAUGGUUUCAGAUAUAUUCUCUAUUCCCUAUCUAAUCUUGGUAUGUCUAGCAUCAUUCGAGGAAGAAUGUUUCCAAGGGGGGCGGGGGGGAUGAUGUAAUACCCCGGAAAAUUUUUCGUUGAAAUUUUGUGUGUAAACGUAUUGGGUUCUAUCCUCUAGAAUGAAUUAUAAAUUUUCCGUGUGGAAUAUCUUAGAUUAAGACCCACCAUUGAGUAGCGUACCGAAUAAUCUUUCCAAUGAUAUAUAGAUCAUACAAAACGGACACCCGAGCGACGAGUUAUGAACAUUCCAAUCGAAUCGUGAAUAGUAGUGAACAGUAAAACGUGCAGGAAAAAGUACUGAGGCCUGGCGUAUUUUUGAUCCAAAUUUAAAUGAUCAUAACUCCUUGUACAUAAUGAUCUGGGUGAUUUAAUAUAUAUCAAUGGAAAGCUUUGUGAGUCCUCUUUCCAAUGAAAUUCGUUUCAUCCAAUUUGUCUAUCGGAGCAAAAAGUUAUGGUCGAGCUACUUCAGCCUAUCAAAAGAAAAUUUUUGGGUCAACUUCAAACAAUCAUAACUCCUCGUACACAAUGAUCUGGGUGAGAUACUAUAUAUCAAUGAAAAUAUAUGAGAGUCCUCUUUCUAAUGAAAUUGGUUUCAUCCAAUUUGGAUAUCAGAAUAAAACGUUAUGGUUGAUCUACUUCAGACUAUCAAAACAGUCCACCAAAGGACAGAUUCGAGAAUUAUUUGAUUUUUAGGGGAGUUUUGGUCAUUCCCCCUCACCCAAAGUCCGUCCAAACCCUAUAUUAAAUUCUAUUAGAAGCAUUAUAUGUUAUAUUUCAUCAAAUUCCCUAAAACAAAAAACCUAAGCUCCUACAUCCAACUUCAAGAACCUCCAAAGUUCACUAUUAAUUCUNNNNNNNNNNNNNNNNNNNNNNNNNNNNNNNNNNNNNNNNNNNNNNNNNNNNNNNNNNNNNNNNNNNNNNNNNNNNNNNNNNNNNNNNNNNNNNNNNNNNNNNNNNNNNNNNNNNNNNNNNNNNNNNNNNNNNNNNNNNNNNNNNNNNNNNNNNNNNNNNNNNNNNNNNNNNNNNNNNNNNNNNNNNNNNNNNNNNNNNNNNNNNNNNNNNNNNNNNNNNNNNNNNNNNNNNNNNNNNNNNNNNNNNNNNNNNNNNNNNNNNNNNNNNNNNNNNNNNNNNNNNNNNNNNNNNNNNNNNNNNNNNNNNNNNNNNNNNNNNNNNNNNNNNNNNNNNNNNNNNNNNNNNNNNNNNNNNNNNNNNNNNNNNNNNNNNNNNNNNNNNNNNNNNNNNNNNNNNNNNNNNNNNNNNNNNNNNNNNNNNNNNNNNNNNNNNNNNNNNNNNNNNNNNNNNNNNNNNNNNNNNNNNNNNNNNNNNNNNNNNNNNNNNNNNNNNNNNNNNNNNNNNNNNNNNNNNNNNNNNNNNNNNNNNNNNNNNNNNNNNNNNNNNNNNNNNNNNNNNNNNNNNNNNNNNNNNNNNNNNNNNNNNNNNNNNNNNNNNNNNNNNNNNNNNNNNNNNNNNNNNNNNNNNNNNNNNNNNNNNNNNNNNNNNNNNNNNNNNNNNNNNNNNNNNNNNNNNNNNNNNNNNNNNNNNNNNNNNNNNNNNNNNNNNNNNNNNNNNNNNNNNNNNNNNNNNNNNNNNNNNNNNNNNNNNNNNNNNNNNNNNNNNNNNNNNNNNNNNNNNNNNNNNNNNNNNNNNNNNNNNNNNNNNNNNNNNNNNNNNNNNNNNNNNNNNNNNNNNNNNNNNNNNNNNNNNNNNNNNNNNNNNNNNNNNNNNNNNNNNNNNNNNNNNNNNNNNNNNNNNNNNNNNNNNNNNNNNNNNNNNNNNNNNNNNNNNNNNNNNNNNNNNNNNNNNNNNNNNNNNNNNNNNNNNNNNNNNNNNNNNNNNNNNNNNNNNNNNNNNNNNNNNNNNNNNNNNNNNNNNNNNNNNNNNNNNNNNNNNNNNNNNNNNNNNNNNNNNNNNNNNNNNNNNNNNNNNNNNNNNNNNNNNNNNNNNNNNNNNNNNNNNNNNNNNNNNNNNNNNNNNNNNNNNNNNNNNNNNNNNNNNNNNNNNNNNNNNNNNNNNNNNNNNNNNNNNNNNNNNNNNNNNNNNNNNNNNNNNNNNNNNNNNNNNNNNNNNNNNNNNNNNNNNNNNNNNNNNNNNNNNNNNNNNNNNNNNNNNNNNNNNNNNNNNNNNNNNNNNNNNNNNNNNNNNNNNNNNNNNNNNNNNNNNNNNNNNNNNNNNNNNNNNNNNNNNNNNNNNNNNNNNNNNNNNNNNNNNNNNNNNNNNNNNNNNNNNNNNNNNNNNNNNNNNNNNNNNNNNNNNNNNNNNNNNNNNNNNNNNNNNNNNNNNNNNNNNNNNNNNNNNNNNNNNNNNNNNNNNNNNNNNNNNNNNNNNNNNNNNNNNNNNNNNNNNNNNNNNNNNNNNNNNNNNNNNNNNNNNNNNNNNNNNNNNNNNNNNNNNNNNNNNNNNNNNNNNNNNNNNNNNNNNNNNNNNNNNNNNNNNNNNNNUCAGUUGGGGCAUGUCUCAAUGGCUCGCUUGUUUUAUUGAUUUUCUUAGAGGCUUGUCAGACUAGUAUAGAUGUUGGGAGUUGACUAAUAAGUCGUAUUUUGUUAUCUUUCUGAAAUUCUUUUAUUCUUGGAUGAUGAUUAGUCUGUUGAUAUUUAAGGGUUAUUUAUGGAAACCCCGUUGAUUUGUGUUGAACUGAAUGAAAAUGGCUCAAAGGGUUAGCUUAGGGCUACUCGUAGCCUCAAGCACCAUGUGAUGCUCCAGGACCCAUUUUCCCGGGCGUUACACCCUAGAACUAGCACUAACAGAGGAUACCGCUACGACCGACAAGACACCAACCAUUUGGAAUGCUGAAGAAGAAGCUUGGAAGAAUUGGACUUGUACUUCGUACCUGGGAUCUUGGUAGAUUGAACAAGUAGUAGUUUUUGAAAUACUUUUGAAAUAGCACGAUUCUAAAACUGAGGCUUGAUCGUGUCUAAAACUUUAUGUUGUGCUGCCUUAUCUUUUGAAAGCUUAAUUGCAAAAUCUAUGAAUGAAUUAUCUAUUUUCUACAAUGUAUUACUCUCUAUUUUUUAUAUAUAAAUUAUCAAAUCUUCCAAUUACGAUUGUGACACAAUGAAACAAAUGAUCAAAUUCUGAUUUCAAGGGAGACUUCGAAGCCUGACUGAGAGUUCAAACAACCGACCAAGGAACAUGACAAACAUGAGAGUGCUCGAGCAUAAAGAGUACUCGUUCAAGGGAAGUCAAGACACUACAUAAAGAAAGACUUUAGAUAGGUUUUAUGUAAUAUAAAUUUCACUUAUCAUGUACUUACAAACUACGUUUCGACCUAAUUCCCUUGGCAGGAUACGUGGGCAGCCCCAUAGGGUUCGGUCUUACUAUAUAAAACAAAACUCAAAAUCUCUUAUUUGUAAUAGGAGAACUACGCCUUACCUUAUUCCCUCAGCGGGAUACGUAGGCCACCCACACAUGGUUCGGUCACACUAGGACAAAACUAGAACUUCUUCCUUAUGUAAUUUUGAACUACAUGCGGCUUGAUUCCCUAGGUAGGAUAUGUAGGCAGCCUAUAGCAGGUUCGGCCCCUUUAUUAGAAAAACUCCAAAUCAUUUCAUGUACUUACGAACUACGUUUCGACCUGAUUCUCUCAACGAGAUACGUAGGCUGUAUAAGGUUCGGUCUUAUCAAACCAAAAGGUAUAUACCUUCUACACCCCCAAGACCAGGGCAGAUUUUGAAAAGAUAUCAACAAGGAUGAUUAGAUAUUGUCAAGAUGCAUUUGACUUGGGCUACCAGACGAGGAGUAGAAAUAUAAAGGGCAUUCAUUUUGUCUCAACGUAUCACAGUCUAAGAUUGGCAUAAGUUCUGAAAAAUGUACAUAUUUGGGCAUAUACGUAUAUUUAUUAAACAUUUUCUUACGAAGAUUUUGCUACUGGUUCAUUUGUCAAGUCUCAAUGGAGAUCACAAAGGUAUGAACAGAUGAGAUGAAUGGAGGGUCAACAAAGCCAAGCCUCGAGUCAAUACGAAUCAACGCCCCCUCCCAACUAAAGAUUUUUCUUUGAGUACAGGGACAGUAAAAUGUAGGAUGACAGCACUAAGUUGAUGUCAAGGCUACCAAUCAUAGCCAUGAACAUCAUUUGGCCCCUUAGAGGAAUUGCUCAGGAAGGACAAAUGUCGAAGAUCAGAGAACAAUACUCAAGCGAUCAAUAACAAUAUCUCCAGCCAAGCGGCCCACCUCAUUUUAUUCUUUACUUUGCUAUCUUAUUUUGUAAUUCAUUUUUUCCACUUGGUAAUUUUUCCUUGAAUUCUUGCAGGAAUCAAUUUGGGGUCUUCGAAGACAAGCGGAUGAGUUACAACAAUCAACAUUAGUAUCCGAAGACAACUGGAGACUCAUUCAUCACGAAAUCCCCAAAGACAACCGGCGGAUUUCGCAACAAUCAACAUUGUUUCCUGGAAGACAACCGUAGACACCAUCAUCAUCAAGUUUUCAUAGACAAUUGGAGACACUAUGCAUCAUUAACUCUCCAAAGACAAUUGGAAGACAUCAUUGAGUCCCUGGAGACAAACAGCGGCCUCAGUUUACAUUAAAGUUUUCGAACACAACCGAAAACUUCAUUACAUCAUCAACAUAAGCCGAGUGGCUACACUCUUACUUUACCUUCUACUUUACUAAUUACUUUAAAUUACUUUACCAACUUUAACGACUUUACCUUAAAUCUUACAGACAUCAUUGAUCAUCAAGUCUUCAAAAACAACUGGAGACGUCAUGCACUCUCUGAAGACAAUUAGAGACAUCAUUCAGUCCCAUAGACAAGCGGAGACUUCAUUCAACAUUAAAACUUUCGAAGACAACUGGAUGCUUCAUUGCAGCACCCGCAAAAGCCGACCGGCUACAUUCUUACCUUACUUUUUCUUACAUAUUUCAUAUUUUUUUUCAACUGGUAGUUUUUCCGUGAGUUUUAUUUUUGACAAGGAAACACAAUUUGCGAUAAUAAUACAUACAUCACCACGUGGAACUACUCUCUUAGCAGCAAACUGGGGCAAGCUAGUGCAAUGUCAAGCAUCCCUAGCUACGUCAAGGAUUUUGGCAAAGAAACUCAACUCAGCUCAACUCAAGUUUUCAUUUCAACUUUCAGUAUCAUCACCCUGUGCCGUCUUAAUCUGACACUGGGGCAAUUUUUGAAAAUUCUCAAUCUCCUUUUCUCUCAAAAUUCCCAUCAGAUAUUAUCAUUUAACACCUCCUCAUUCCUAGCUAUCCCUAAACAACCAUUCAGGGACAAGUGCACUCGUAUCCACUCCAUUCGUGCUGAAAUCAUUCUCGAAGAAACUCAGUGUCAGCAUAAUUCUACACUGGGACAAAAAUUUGAUGUUUACUAAAUUUUGCUAUGAUUCAAACUACAAAUGGCCUAAUUUCUCACAAAAUCCAAGAUAUGUAGGCAGCUCAGAAAUCAGAGCCCGGCCAUAAUCUUCCUAACACUUUAUUUUUCUCGAGACAAAAUUUGUUAUGUCAACGCGAUUGCCCAAAGAUUUUCACACAAAUCUUCGGUCACUCAGGGGCAACUGUUGACACCCAAUUUUGGCUCACCCUUUUUCCUUUAAUUACUUUUCCGAUGCUUCUUGGCCCUAAAUAAUUUUUUGAAAAUUAAAUAAUAAAUAAAAUUUGCAUUUUUAUCUCUAUUUCUAUAAUUUUUUGAAUAAUAAAAGCGGAUUUAUUUUUCUAUCAUCUUAUAAAAUAUCUUAAUUAAAUAUAAUUAAAUAUUUCAGCAUCAAAAUCACAAAAUAUCUUUUGAAACUCGCAUUUGCUUUUUCUAAUUUUAUUUUUAGGCGAUAUUGUGGCCAUAUAUAUAUAUAUAUAUAUAUAUAUAUAUAUAUAUAUAUAUAUACGUAUAUAUAUAUUGUUAUAUAAAAUAAAUAUUUUAUAUUAUAUUCUUAUUGUUACAUAUGUUUUCUUAUAUUCUUAAUGUUACACACACACACAUAUAUAUACAUAUAUAUAUAUAUAUAUAUUGUUAAUAAUAAAUAACAAAAAGAUAUCUAAUUGGAUGCUUAUACAAAUUAUGUCAGUAAUUUGUGUACGUUAAACUAAAAAUAACUUUAGAAUAUCACGAAGAAUCGAUAAAAUUAAUUAUAGUAGAAAAAGAGCAUCCGGGACGAUAAUAAUCCAAUUACAAUCUUUAUUUUAUUCAAACCCAACUUUUAUUCACAAAUCACAGUCAAACUGUACGAAAAUUAGCCCGAAAUGCAGUAUAUAUAUAUAUAUUGUUAAUAUUAAAUCACAAAAAGAUAUCAAUUUGGACGCUUAUACAAAUUAUGUCUGUAAUUUGUGUAUGUUAAACUAAAAAUAAGUUUAGAAUAUCAGGAAGCAUCGAUAAAAUUAAUUUCAGUAGAAAAAGAGCAUCCGGGUCGAUAAUAACUCGAUACCAGUCUUUAUUUUGUUCAAUCCCAACUUUUAUUCACAAAUCUCAGUCAAAGCGCCCGAAAAUUAGCCCGAAACGCAGUACAAUUUCCAUGUUCGCUUCACCAUGCCAUCCAACAAACACAAAUCAAUCUAGUCCGUAAAUUUAUUUAUUUUUAACCAAAAGAUUCGAAACUUUCAACUUUAUAAAUAAUUUAUAUCUAUCUAUAUGUAUAUAUUCCAUACAUUUAAUUAUUUUCUAUUAAAUUUAAACCAUCCAAUUAAAUGAUCGGACAGAUAAAAAUAACCAUUUUUAAAUUAAUUUUUAUAUUCAUCAUAUACAUACUUUUUAAAAAAAAAAGUAUUUGUCUGAUCGGACGGAUCAAAAUUAGUCAAGAAUCCAUAACAAAGCACGCGUAUUCCCCUUCCCAAUAUACCUUUUACGCGUGCCUUCCCCCCUUCCCCAAAGCUGCAAUGCCAUGUCCCUUUAAUUUUCCAAACAAACAGAAAAACCAAACGCCCUUAUUCCCUUCUCUCCUCCUCCUCUCCUCUCCUCUACAAUCACCAAACGGGAAACCUAUCUGCACCACCAUAGCUGCCCAACCUGCAAAUAUUCUCCCCAAUUUAAUUUCCCCAACCUGCAAUUUUCUCCUUUGGUAGCAAAAAUAGACCUGAAUGUAUGCUACGAUAUAAAAUCAAUUUCAAGUCCACAUUAAAUGCUCGAAAAUCGUUCAAAUUUGAAGAGGGGUUUGUUCCUUUUAAUUCUUUAUAUUUUGAUUUCCCCCUUUUAUUGUGCCCGUUGGCCUCUUUGAAUUUUGGUUUCAAAUACGGACUUUUAAGUCCGGAUUUGGCUAUAAAUAGUCGUAUUUUAACUCCUUGGAGACAAGUUUUUCAGGGAGGGAUAACUGAGAAGUGAUUCACAAAGAUUAGGCACAAUUCAGUUCCUCUUCAACACUACCACUUUUUUAUCAUUCACGAGUUCUAUCGGAGUUGAGUUCGAAGAGAAAUUCGUUGCCCAAAACUUGACGGAAAGCCUCUGUUUGCUGCCCAACAAAAGGUAUGAAAUCAUCCUUUUCUCACUUAUAUUCACCUUCCUUUCUUUCAUCUGGUUUUGGUUCUAUGGAUACAUAAUUUGUUUCUAGCCUUAGUCUUUGUUAUCACUGUCUUCGUUGCCUUUACGAAUAAAAUAAUUUUGAUUUUUGGUGAAAUUACUUUGGGAUGAAAUGAAUAUAUGGUUUGUGGUCAAAUUAUGCAAAAUAUGGGAAAAUCUACUCUUAUUUGACUUGAGCUUCUCUUUCGUCGAUUUGAAUACAUAAAUAUUUGGUUAUAAUUUUAUUUAAAGCAUGUUGUUGGUCUUGUUGUUCAUUAUCCACCAAAUAAGUACCGGGAUAUGGUAUCACUCUAAGUUUAUGUUGUUUUCAAUAUGUAAAAUCUGCUCUUUAUCUCACUUUUCAUCUCCUUCUCUUUCAACUAUUUUUUAUCCUAUGAAUAUGUGAUUCUUGAGUUCACAUAGUUGCUGUGAUUUUUCAACCCUGUCGGUUAAUACAACUUUUGAUUCUAGCAUGGUUUUGUAUGCCCAGUGUAUUUUUUAUUGCAAGUUAGAUUGUAUUGUUGUUGUUUGUUGUCUGCCGACUGAAUUCAGGGAAUUCGAUUUCAUCUUAAUCCUUUUUUUUUUCAAAAUAUUGUGGUCUUGUCUUCAAGAUAUGUGAUAUACUUUGUUCUCUGAGAAAUGAGUAAAAUGCGUGGACAUUUUUUAUCCCGAGUUACGUGAAAUUUGAAAACGCGCUUCUAGGUUUGAUCCCAUUUUAUAUUUUUUCAAGAAGGUUCUGCCUCAUUUCUAGCAAAAGAGUAGUUUUAUGAAUCAAAUGUGGGAAGUCCCCUCCCCGUCAUUUCAUUUUAUGAGUUUCAAUACCUUCUCGGCGUCGUUUGAAUAGGUGUAUCUAUGUUGACCGUUGUUUCAUGUUUGAAGAAAUGUAUUUUGGUUUACUGUUCGCCAAUAUUCACGAAUUACUUGCUCGUGGAUGUCACAUGAAUCUGUUUGUUCUGCGUUUAGAAUCGGUCGACUUGUCAUUUAAUUUACAUUUAGAAUUUGCCUAAUAUCCAGUGUCUUUUAACACCUUUAGUAAGAUUUUAAUAAACUUUGUGCUUAAAAGAGUGAUGUUGGCCGAGUUACUCGGACCACAUUGGUGGAAUUAGUCAAUAAUGAUGACGCCACAUCCAUGUCAUUUGCUUAAGUCUUGUGUGAACUGCCUAUAAUACUGUGUAUGACUCGCCUAUAAGACAUCUUCUUAUAAUUUCAUGGAAGUUUAUUUGGAUAAAGUUUCCUAACUUUCAAAUAAGCAUGCAGUCCUUCAAUUUCUCCAACUAGCUAGUCCGACUAGGAAUAACUUUAAAUUUACUUGAAUAUAUAUUUAAGCACCUAUAGUUUCUUAGGAUUUUUUUGCUGCUUGGAAGGAUUGUCUGCUCUCUUUACUGUGCUCUUACCAUCUGUUAUUCUUUAUUAGUUGUAGCUAACAACCAUAAAUUGGAUUAUGUUCAAAGUGAUCCCUCUUGUUCGUUUCAUGCAUGUGCAAGAUAACGUUAGUAAAUUGGGUCAUCUUCCUACAUUAAUUUGAUUAAUAUCCUUUCAUCGUUUCAUGUUGUUUCUAACUAUUUGUAUUAUCCACUAAUCCUUAUCUUUUAUUUUUCAUGUGAACUCGGGAGUUGAAGUUUCGAUUGAAACUCCAUUUUGACCCGAAGAUCGAGUCAACGGCCAUAGGACAAGAGCUUGGGGGUCNNNNNNNNNNNNNNNNNNNNNNNNNNNNNNNNUUGAUUUUGUUAUGCCAAUUGCUUAUUCAUUUAGUGUCCGUGAACAUAACAAAGAUACAUGGUUAACCACUUAUUUUACAAUUUUGUAUCUGUGAAUCACCCUUCUUUUUUUUUUAAAAUAAAUGGAAAACUUUGUUUUAAGUGCAAUCUCAAAAUUAAGAAAGAAUGCGUUUUUGAAAAUGAUUAAAAUAGCUUGUGAUAGCCUUCAUUUUCCAAAUUAUUAAUCAAUGAAUUUUAUCAUCUAAAUCAAAUAUUUUAAAUAAGUCGCUAAAGGACUUUCACUGGCCAAACUCUUUUAAAAUUUGCAAAUACCUAAACAAUUCCAAAAUACGAUUUUCAUUGACUACUUUUUACAUUUAUUUCCUAAGUUUAUUUUAAAUUUUCAGACUCUAAAACCUCCAAAACACAAGGUGCAUAUAAAUACACCAUCAUAUAUGGCAUGUUGUUGUUGCUACUUUUAUUUAUUUAUUUUCUUAAAAUGAAAUUAUUAUUAUCAUUAUCCACACUUUAUUUCAACUAUAUAGUUAUAAGUGUAUUUUUUAUUACCUUUAUUUUUGUCUACUUUUAGUUAUUUACAAAUAAUUGGAUAAUAGCAGGAUUGCCCAUAUUUUAAGAGUGCAUAAGUCUAGUUUACUCAAAAACUAAUAUGUUAACAUAUUUUGAUAUAUUUUUAUUUUUGCGAAAAUGCAUUUGCAUAAAUUUACUCUCAAAAUAAAUAAUUUUUCAUAUUUUUUAAAGACGACAUGAUAACUUAUAAAUAAAAAAAUAAAUUUUUACACGUUAUAUUUUCCCUUACAUCAUAAGUGAUUCCUUUACGAACUUAACUUUAUAUGUCACUAGACUUUAUAUUCUUAUAAAACUAUAAAUAUUUAAAUUUUCUAUUAUGUAUAUACUAAUAUUAAAUUCUCUCUCUUCAUUCUCACAUCGCUUUGAAACAAGCGUGUGUAUUUUGAUAAUAAAUUAUAUUACUUUUCGCAUAUCGUAAAAUGUAUAUUUAUGUACCUUGUGUGUUUUCUUUGAACUUAAUAAACAUGUGUAGUUAUCAAUAUUUUGCAAAUGAUAAAAAAUAAAUAAAUUUUUCCCAAAUGUUUUUCUAAAGCUAAGUUUAAGGACUAUCUUUGGAUAGGCUCUGAGGGGUGCUUAAUACCUUUCCCUCGAGUAAUCAAAAUCCUUACUUAGAAUCUCACUGAUUUUCGCAGAUUAAAAACAGAGUUUUUCUACCACAAGAAAUGGUUUUCCUAAUUUUCCUAAAAAGUUAGGUAGCGACUCAAAAACAAAACAAACAAUUUUUUUCAAAACCAGUAAGCGUCUCUACGACGACCAUACGUUGCAGAAUGUUUCAGCCGGUCUGAAAUGGGUGCGACAAUCACCAUCUACAGACCCUUUUCUACCUCCCUCAACGUUGUUUUCAUAUCUCUUGGCAUCUUCACUUUGUUCAGGAAGCUCAUCCGAAUCCCUCUGUAUUGUAGCCUUUUUUUUGGGUGGUCAAAUGUUGAUCCACUUUCACAUUCUUUUCUUUUGAGAGACAUGUUUUACCUAUAAACAACAGAAAAAUAAAAAUUAAGUUACAAUUGAUUUAUGCAUAAAUUUAAAAAAAUACAUUACAAACACCACCAAUACCAACACCAACAACCACCACCACAAACACCACCAACCAAUGCCACAAACAUCAGGAAUAUCAAUACCACCGACAACCACCACAAACACCACAAACUAAUGUCACCACCAGUGCCAUCACGAAGACCACAAACACCACCACCAAUACCUCAAACACCAUCCAACAAUACCACGAUAGUCAACGAAAUACUGCGACAGAAACUAGGGUUUUCUCGAGUUCUUCCCAUGAUUCUUCCAUCAAAACUCACAAUUGUAAAUCCAUUCUCGAUAAAUACAACUAAAUGUUUUAUUUAAAAGCCCUUAUUUUUUAGAAAAAAAUAACAAAUAUAGAACUCUUCUCGAACUCUGUUACCUAUGAAGACAAAGAAAAUGACUGAUACAAGCAAGAAUGAAGUCGAAAAUAACACCUAUAUGGUCGGAAAUGAGAAGAAAAACAAUCUUUUGUGAAGGGUUGAAAAAUUUGUAGAGUAGCUCUUGUCUGUAUUGUAUUGUUGAGUGAGAAUGAGAGAGAGAAGAGCAAGAAAUUGAGAUUUGAAAUGAUGAAACGUUUUGUAUGGGUUGAUUUGUAUUUUGAAAAAGAAUGAUAAGUUUUGAAAAUGUUAAUUUGGUCUAAAUUGAUCUAAAUUAUUUUUAAAAUUACAAAAGAUAUGCUUACUUUUUAACCCUCUCAUCGUGCAAUUGCCAAAAGGGUACUAUUAGUCUAAUAUAUAAACUCAAUUGAAAUUGUAUAAAAAUAAUUAAAGUUGUAGUUGACCCUAUGAACUCACCCCUGGUCCUAGAUUAACCAAUUUAGGUACUAUUAGUCUAACAUAUGAACUCAAUUGAAAUUGUAUAAAAAAUAAAUUUUCAACAUGUUGCAACAGAUGAUCGAAUCUGUUGUAAAUUAUCAAACAGAUUAAGUCAUUUGUUGCAAUAUAUUACCCAUCUGUUGUAAAUUAUCAAAUGGAUUAAGUCAUAUGUCGUAAUAGAUUACCCAUCUGUUGUAAAACAUUAAAUUGGCACUGUCAUGUAUUGUAGUUGAUAUUAUGAGAACUCACCCCUAGUCCUAGAUUAAUCAAUUGAGGUAUUAGUUGAACAUAUGAGGUAGUAAGAAUCGGUUCAAAUCAGAGUGAUCGAUCGACGACUCUGGUCGGGGGGAAUGCAAUAUCGUCUCAUUAUGUAAAUGCCAAAACACUCAAUUGAAGCUAUAGUUGACCUUAUGAGAACUCACCCCUAGUCCUAGAUUAUUCAGUAAAGGUAUUAGUACCCUAGUCCUAGAUUAAUCAAUUAAGGUAUUAGUUGAACAUAUGAGGUAGUAAGAAUCAGUUCGGCUCAGAAUAAUCGAUCAACGACUCUGGUUGGGAGGAACACAAUAUCGUCUCAUCAUGCAACUGCCAAAAGACUCAAUUAAAGCUGUAGUUGACACCCUAUGAGAACUCACCCCUAGUCCUAGAUUAUUCAAUAAAGGUAUUAGUCUAACAUAUGAAAGCAAUUGAAAUUAUAUAUAAACAAAUUUUCAACCUGUUGCAACAAAUAUAUUUUUUGUUGGAUUAAAUCAAAUAGAUUAGGCAAUCUGUUGUAACAUAUUAUGUAUUUGUUGUAAAAUAUCAAACAGAUUAUGUCAUUUAUUGCGAUAGAUGACCGAAUCUGUUGUAAAUUAUCAAAAAAUUAAGUCAUCUGCUGCAACAGAUUACCCAUCUAUUGUAAAUUAUCAAAUGGAUUAAGUUAUAUGUCGCAAUAGAUUACCCAUCUGUUCUAAACCAUCAAAUUUGCGCUAUCAUCUGUUAUAGUUAACAUUAUGAGAACUCACCCCUAGUCCUAGAUUAAUCAAUUGAGGUAUUAGUUGAACAUAUGAGGUAGUAAGAAUCGGUUCAAAUCAGAGUGAUCGAUCGACGACUCUGGUCGGGGGGAAUGCAAUAUCGUCUCAUUAUGUAAAUGCCAAAACACUCAAUUGAAGCUAUAGUUGACCUUAUGAGAACUCACCCCUAGUCCUAGAUUAUUCAGUAAAGGUAUUAGUACCCUAGUCCUAGAUUAAUCAAUUAAGGUAUUAGUUGAACAUAUGAGGUAGUAAGAAUCAGUUCGGCUCAGAAUAAUCGAUCAACGACUCUGGUUGGGAGGAACACAAUAUCGUCUCAUCAUGCAACUGCCAAAAGACUCAAUUAAAGCUGUAGUUGACACCCUAUGAGAACUCACCCCUAGUCCUAGAUUAUUCAAUAAAGGUAUUAGUCUAACAUAUGAAAGCAAUUGAAAUUAUAUAUAAACAAAUUUUCAACCUGUUGCAACAAAUAUAUUUUUUGUUGGAUUAAAUCAAAUAGAUUAGGCAAUCUGUUGUAACAUAUUAUGUAUUUGUUGUAAAAUAUCAAACAGAUUAUGUCAUUUAUUGCGAUAGAUGACCGAAUCUGUUGUAAAUUAUCAAAAAAUUAAGUCAUCUGCUGCAACAGAUUACCCAUCUAUUGUAAAUUAUCAAAUGGAUUAAGUUAUAUGUCGCAAUAGAUUACCCAUCUGUUCUAAACCAUCAAAUUUGCGCUAUCAUCUGUUAUAGUUAACAUUAUGAGAACUCACCCCUAGUCCUAGAUUAAUCAAUUGAGGUAUUAGUUGAACAUAUGAGGUAGUAAGAAUCGGUUCAAAUCAGAGUGAUCGAUCGACGACUCUGGUCGGGGGGAAUGCAAUAUCGUCUCAUUAUGUAAAUGCCAAAACACUCAAUUGAAGCUAUAGUUGACCUUAUGAGAACUCACCCCUAGUCCUAGAUUAUUCAGUAAAGGUAUUAGUACCCUAGUCCUAGAUUAAUCAAUUAAGGUAUUAGUUGAACAUAUGAGGUAGUAAGAAUCAGUUCGGCUCAGAAUAAUCGAUCAACGACUCUGGUUGGGAGGAACACAAUAUCGUCUCAUCAUGCAACUGCCAAAAGACUCAAUUAAAGCUGUAGUUGACACCCUAUGAGAACUCACCCCUAGUCCUAGAUUAUUCAAUAAAGGUAUUAGUCUAACAUAUGAAAGCAAUUGAAAUUAUAUAUAAACAAAUUUUCAACCUGUUGCAACAAAUAUAUUUUUUGUUGGAUUAAAUCAAAUAGAUUAGGCAAUCUGUUGUAACAUAUUAUGUAUUUGUUGUAAAAUAUCAAACAGAUUAUGUCAUUUAUUGCGAUAGAUGACCGAAUCUGUUGUAAAUUAUCAAAAAAUUAAGUCAUCUGCUGCAACAGAUUACCCAUCUAUUGUAAAUUAUCAAAUGGAUUAAGUUAUAUGUCGCAAUAGAUUACCCAUCUGUUCUAAACCAUCAAAUUUGCGCUAUCAUCUGUUAUAGUUAACAUUAUGAGAACUCACCCCUAGUCCUAGAUUAAUCAAUUGAGGUAUUAGUUGAACAUAUGAGGUAGUAAGAAUCGGUUCAAAUCAGAGUGAUCGAUCGACGACUCUGGUCGGGGGGAAUGCAAUAUCGUCUCAUUAUGUAAAUGCCAAAACACUCAAUUGAAGCUAUAGUUGACCUUAUGAGAACUCACCCCUAGUCCUAGAUUAUUCAGUAAAGGUAUUAGUACCCUAGUCCUAGAUUAAUCAAUUAAGGUAUUAGUUGAACAUAUGAGGUAGUAAGAAUCAGUUCGGCUCAGAAUAAUCGAUCAACGACUCUGGUUGGGAGGAACACAAUAUCGUCUCAUCAUGCAACUGCCAAAAGACUCAAUUAAAGCUGUAGUUGACACCCUAUGAGAACUCACCCCUAGUCCUAGAUUAUUCAAUAAAGGUAUUAGUCUAACAUAUGAAAGCAAUUGAAAUUAUAUAUAAACAAAUUUUCAACCUGUUGCAACAAAUAUAUUUUUUGUUGGAUUAAAUCAAAUAGAUUAGGCAAUCUGUUGUAACAUAUUAUGUAUUUGUUGUAAAAUAUCAAACAGAUUAUGUCAUUUAUUGCGAUAGAUGACCGAAUCUGUUGUAAAUUAUCAAAAAAUUAAGUCAUCUGCUGCAACAGAUUACCCAUCUAUUGUAAAUUAUCAAAUGGAUUAAGUUAUAUGUCGCAAUAGAUUACCCAUCUGUUCUAAACCAUCAAAUUUGCGCUAUCAUCUGUUAUAGUUAACAUUAUGAGAACUCACCCCUAGUCCUAGAUUAAUCAAUUGAGGUAUUAGUUGAACAUAUGAGGUAGUAAGAAUCGGUUCAAAUCAGAGUGAUCGAUCGACGACUCUGGUCGGGGGGAAUGCAAUAUCGUCUCAUUAUGUAAAUGCCAAAACACUCAAUUGAAGCUAUAGUUGACCUUAUGAGAACUCACCCCUAGUCCUAGAUUAUUCAGUAAAGGUAUUAGUACCCUAGUCCUAGAUUAAUCAAUUAAGGUAUUAGUUGAACAUAUGAGGUAGUAAGAAUCAGUUCGGCUCAGAAUAAUCGAUCAACGACUCUGGUUGGGAGGAACACAAUAUCGUCUCAUCAUGCAACUGCCAAAAGACUCAAUUAAAGCUGUAGUUGACACCCUAUGAGAACUCACCCCUAGUCCUAGAUUAUUCAAUAAAGGUAUUAGUCUAACAUAUGAAAGCAAUUGAAAUUAUAUAUAAACAAAUUUUCAACCUGUUGCAACAAAUAUAUUUUUUGUUGGAUUAAAUCAAAUAGAUUAGGCAAUCUGUUGUAACAUAUUAUGUAUUUGUUGUAAAAUAUCAAACAGAUUAUGUCAUUUAUUGCGAUAGAUGACCGAAUCUGUUGUAAAUUAUCAAAAAAUUAAGUCAUCUGCUGCAACAGAUUACCCAUCUAUUGUAAAUUAUCAAAUGGAUUAAGUUAUAUGUCGCAAUAGAUUACCCAUCUGUUCUAAACCAUCAAAUUUGCGCUAUCAUCUGUUAUAGUUAACAUUAUGAGAACUCACCCCUAGUCCUAGAUUAAUCAAUUGAGGUAUUAGUUGAACAUAUGAGGUAGUAAGAAUCGGUUCAAAUCAGAGUGAUCGAUCGACGACUCUGGUCGGGGGGAAUGCAAUAUCGUCUCAUUAUGUAAAUGCCAAAACACUCAAUUGAAGCUAUAGUUGACCUUAUGAGAACUCACCCCUAGUCCUAGAUUAUUCAGUAAAGGUAUUAGUACCCUAGUCCUAGAUUAAUCAAUUAAGGUAUUAGUUGAACAUAUGAGGUAGUAAGAAUCAGUUCGGCUCAGAAUAAUCGAUCAACGACUCUGGUUGGGAGGAACACAAUAUCGUCUCAUCAUGCAACUGCCAAAAGACUCAAUUAAAGCUGUAGUUGACACCCUAUGAGAACUCACCCCUAGUCCUAGAUUAUUCAAUAAAGGUAUUAGUCUAACAUAUGAAAGCAAUUGAAAUUAUAUAUAAACAAAUUUUCAACCUGUUGCAACAAAUAUAUUUUUUGUUGGAUUAAAUCAAAUAGAUUAGGCAAUCUGUUGUAACAUAUUAUGUAUUUGUUGUAAAAUAUCAAACAGAUUAUGUCAUUUAUUGCGAUAGAUGACCGAAUCUGUUGUAAAUUAUCAAAAAAUUAAGUCAUCUGCUGCAACAGAUUACCCAUCUAUUGUAAAUUAUCAAAUGGAUUAAGUUAUAUGUCGCAAUAGAUUACCCAUCUGUUCUAAACCAUCAAAUUUGCGCUAUCAUCUGUUAUAGUUAACAUUAUGAGAACUCACCCCUAGUCCUAGAUUAAUCAAUUGAGGUAUUAGUUGAACAUAUGAGGUAGUAAGAAUCGGUUCAAAUCAGAGUGAUCGAUCGACGACUCUGGUCGGGGGGAAUGCAAUAUCGUCUCAUUAUGUAAAUGCCAAAACACUCAAUUGAAGCUAUAGUUGACCUUAUGAGAACUCACCCCUAGUCCUAGAUUAUUCAGUAAAGGUAUUAGUACCCUAGUCCUAGAUUAAUCAAUUAAGGUAUUAGUUGAACAUAUGAGGUAGUAAGAAUCAGUUCGGCUCAGAAUAAUCGAUCAACGACUCUGGUUGGGAGGAACACAAUAUCGUCUCAUCAUGCAACUGCCAAAAGACUCAAUUAAAGCUGUAGUUGACACCCUAUGAGAACUCACCCCUAGUCCUAGAUUAUUCAAUAAAGGUAUUAGUCUAACAUAUGAAAGCAAUUGAAAUUAUAUAUAAACAAAUUUUCAACCUGUUGCAACAAAUAUAUUUUUUGUUGGAUUAAAUCAAAUAGAUUAGGCAAUCUGUUGUAACAUAUUAUGUAUUUGUUGUAAAAUAUCAAACAGAUUAUGUCAUUUAUUGCGAUAGAUGACCGAAUCUGUUGUAAAUUAUCAAAAAAUUAAGUCAUCUGCUGCAACAGAUUACCCAUCUAUUGUAAAUUAUCAAAUGGAUUAAGUUAUAUGUCGCAAUAGAUUACCCAUCUGUUCUAAACCAUCAAAUUUGCGCUAUCAUCUGUUAUAGUUAACAUUAUGAGAACUCACCCCUAGUCCUAGAUUAAUCAAUUGAGGUAUUAGUUGAACAUAUGAGGUAGUAAGAAUCGGUUCAAAUCAGAGUGAUCGAUCGACGACUCUGGUCGGGGGGAAUGCAAUAUCGUCUCAUUAUGUAAAUGCCAAAACACUCAAUUGAAGCUAUAGUUGACCUUAUGAGAACUCACCCCUAGUCCUAGAUUAUUCAGUAAAGGUAUUAGUACCCUAGUCCUAGAUUAAUCAAUUAAGGUAUUAGUUGAACAUAUGAGGUAGUAAGAAUCAGUUCGGCUCAGAAUAAUCGAUCAACGACUCUGGUUGGGAGGAACACAAUAUCGUCUCAUCAUGCAACUGCCAAAAGACUCAAUUAAAGCUGUAGUUGACACCCUAUGAGAACUCACCCCUAGUCCUAGAUUAUUCAAUAAAGGUAUUAGUCUAACAUAUGAAAGCAAUUGAAAUUAUAUAUAAACAAAUUUUCAACCUGUUGCAACAAAUAUAUUUUUUGUUGGAUUAAAUCAAAUAGAUUAGGCAAUCUGUUGUAACAUAUUAUGUAUUUGUUGUAAAAUAUCAAACAGAUUAUGUCAUUUAUUGCGAUAGAUGACCGAAUCUGUUGUAAAUUAUCAAAAAAUUAAGUCAUCUGCUGCAACAGAUUACCCAUCUAUUGUAAAUUAUCAAAUGGAUUAAGUUAUAUGUCGCAAUAGAUUACCCAUCUGUUCUAAACCAUCAAAUUUGCGCUAUCAUCUGUUAUAGUUAACAUUAUGAGAACUCACCCCUAGUCCUAGAUUAAUCAAUUGAGGUAUUAGUUGAACAUAUGAGGUAGUAAGAAUCGGUUCAAAUCAGAGUGAUCGAUCGACGACUCUGGUCGGGGGGAAUGCAAUAUCGUCUCAUUAUGUAAAUGCCAAAACACUCAAUUGAAGCUAUAGUUGACCUUAUGAGAACUCACCCCUAGUCCUAGAUUAUUCAGUAAAGGUAUUAGUACCCUAGUCCUAGAUUAAUCAAUUAAGGUAUUAGUUGAACAUAUGAGGUAUUUUUGACCAAACCUAACGUUUUUAUACCAUUUUAGUGUUCAAUUUAUUUUUAAUUUUUAGGUCUAAAUUAGAUAUAUGUUAAGUUCAUCUUAUUUUACAAGGUUUGUUAAAAGUUUUGAAAACUACAAAAAUAGAGUCAUAUUUUAAUAAGCUUUUAUUUUUAUUUAUUUAUUUUAAAAAAAUAAUAAUAAAAAUUAUAUUUGUUUUCUUCUUUUAACUUUUAAUAAAGAAUCUAGUGAUAUUAAGAUUUCUUAAUCAUAUUUCUAAGGUUAUCUAUUUAACUAAUUUAUUUUUAUUAAUGUUAAAUAGAUUUUAUUAUUUUUAUUUUUUAUUUAAAAUAUUAAAAAAAUAAUAAUAAAAAUGAAAAAAACCUAAAAGCUACCCUACUUCCCCAUUAUCUCCACUUUUCCCAUACUCUCACUAAAAUACUCCCAAACACGCUCAUUACCACUCUCUAAACAUCCACCUAACAAACCACAUACUCCUUUAACAAAAAACAUCAUCAUCUUUCUUCCACCCACUGACCACUCUAAUUCUUCUUUUACAACUCACAUAUUCCCUCUCCAUUUUUUAUACAGAUCCCACGUGAACACUCCAUACCUCCACUAAAACACAUGACACACACAUCACUCACUUCCACUCAUUCCCUCUCAAAUGCACACACCACACAAAACACACUCCCUAUAUAAUACACCACACAAAUUAGAACACGGGAGGGGAGAAAAGAAGGAGAAAAGAUAUAGAAACUAGAAGAGAAAGAGACUGAAAAACAAGAGAAAAACACUUAGUAAAAAAAAAAAAAGAAGCAUAGAAAGUGAGAGAAGAGAAAGAGAAAACCCAAACGGAAGAGAAGAAGAGUUCGGGUUUAGAGUUUGAAGUGCCAUUCAAGUUUUCGAUGAUGGUGUUUUGUUUCUAUAUUCGAUUCAGUUCAUUAUACAGGUUCUUAUGUGUCAUGUACUCUUAUAAAUUUUACUACGAACAAGCAUGAAUGAAAUCGUUUAAAUAAAAUCAUGCAUUCUUUGGUUAUGAAUCGUUGAUGGAAAAUUUAUUUUUUUAUCGUGAGCGGUAUGUUUAGUCAUUUUGAGUUUGAAGUUUGAUUUUCUAUAUCGCUUGAGUGCUCAAAUUUUAAUAGUCAAAGAAUUAUCAUAUUCUGCUAUUUCAAAUUAAAAAUGACAAGAAAUGAAUAAAAAAAUUUCAUGUCAGUUAGAUGAUAGGGAUUUAAUAUAUUGUGCUUAUUCUGACAUCUUGGUCCCGUAAUCUCUUCCUGUUGCUUUUCUAAUUGACUAUAAAGUUUCUUUUCGUUAGUAAGUUCUUAUAUAAUAUGAAAUUGUGUUCAUGUUAACCCACUUAUAGAUGAUGGCCAUUAAGUGUCUUUAUGUAAUAGAUUAUUAUGUGUAAAUAAUAUAUUUGAAGGGUAUGCAAAGAACGACGGAUCGUAUCUUAACAUUCAAGAUAAGCAAUUCUUAUUAUUUAAAUAGUGGUUUGGACUAUCACUCAACUAGUUCCUGUGAUAGACAAUAGAUAAUUAAUGAAAUCCAUAUCAUGCUAUAGUUUGUUUUCUUUGUUAAGUGAGUUUUGUUCUGUGUUGGUGAAUAGAAAUAAAAAUGGGAUAUGAAUAUUUUAAUAGCCACUUGAUAACAAAGGAGAAGAGUGGUGUGAACUUAUCUUUAGUUUUUACUCCUAUUUGUUACUGUUCAAUUAAUAGUUAGGUGUGUAAUGAUAGUAUAAUCAAGAGGGAAAUUCUUUUUAAUAUUAUUGGUAGUUGGUACGUGGUCAAAUCAUGAUGUGCACUAGCUCUUCAUAAUAUUUUGAACUAAAUCAAAAUCCCAUUCGGUUGGCCUAAUUAAUUAUUAAUGUGAGGUAAAAUAAAAUGGGUUGUAAAUUUAUUCAAGAUUCAUCAUAUCCGAUAGAUUAAAAGAGAGGAAAAACCUAUUGUACGGGAGUGAACUUAUAAAAUAAUUAGUUAGGUUCUUAUCUUCUAAAUAAUUAAGAAUUUAAUAUACAAAUAAAAAUUAAUGAAAAGCUCUGCUACCAACCAUUCGUUAUAGUAAAAUUAAUUCACCAUUUGAAGCCGAUUGGAUUGGGUUGGAUAGAUUUUAAACCUUUAGGUGCUUAUUUAGACUAGGAAAAUGGGGACGCUCCAUAAAUGCCACAAAGGCACGAGAAAUAUAUCAAAACUUGUGGUAACGCCGAAAAGUACUACUAUCGGUAAGUCACGCAUCAAUACAGUUUUAAAUAUAUUCAAAAAUAAUUAAAAGGAGGGAUAGAAAUCACUUUUAGGCUAACAAAUAUUAUAUAUCCAAGAGAUUAAUUUAAGCCAGACAUAAGUCAUUAAAGCAAUUGUGCUAGAACCACGGGACUCGAGGGGUGCCUAACACCUUUCCCUCGGUCACAGAAUUCCUUAUCCGAAUUUCUAGUUCACAGAUCAAAAAUUAAGAGUCAUUGUCUUUUGAAGAUGGAUUCAAUAAGGUGACUUGGAACACUCAAACUCAAUUUCAAGUGACUACUCUAUAAAAUAAAUAAUCCCUAUUCAAAACGUCACUUUAAUUGGAAAACCCCAUUUUCUCUAAAACCAGUUGCACUAGCGGGGUUGGAUGCGGUAAAAAUAGGGGUGUGACAUCCAAUAGUGAUUGGACCGGUUUUAAUGGCUCAAUAGACUUGUUGAAAGGCCUCCAAAGCCUCGCACUGUAGUAAACAACGAUGGAACUAAUAGAAAUUUCCCUGGUCCAAAUUUAUAUGGUUGGGUUGUUGGAGGAGACUAUUAUACAACAGAAGGUGUUUGGGAGAAUACCUGUGCAGGAAGAGGGAGGUUGAGAAGGCCAUAUACCAUCUCAGUCCUUGUUUAAGAGAAAACACACGGUAGAAAGGAAAGUGUAGCAAAAUUGGUUGAUGAAAUUGACAUGGAAAAUUUAAAAACUGUAUGAGCUGUGAAUGUUAAAGUGUAUCCAAAAAUGAAAAUUCAGCAGUCGUUGAAGAAAAAGAAGAAUGGUCAAGAGGACUUGAACUGGUCACUUUGCUAAAGACUGCAACUAGCGAGAGUGUCCUCAACGAAGACCCAAAAAAUGCAGGAUCAUAACUCUAAGGAAGCAGCUGCACGAGCACAAAAGUUGGUAAGAUUGUCGGUCAGAAUUAAAACCUAAACCAAUUACUCCUGCAAUAAAAAUACGAGAUCAAGCCAAGAGGGAAAUUUCUCAAGUUAAACAUGCAUCCCAUGCCUCCUGUUUACGGCUCUGGUCAGGUCAAAGGUAGUGGAAACAAAAAGGCAUAGGAUUUUGACCCAACUUCGGACCUUUUUAUUUCUACUGCCAUUGACCUGAUCAUAGCCACAAACAGAAGGCAUGUCAUGCAAGUUAGAAUUCAGAAAUUAAUGUCUUGGCUUCCCUUAUUUUUAAUUCAGGAAUUAUUGGUUCAGGUUUUAAUUCUAACCAACAAUCUUACCACCUUUCGUACUCGCGAAGCUUCUUUCUUAGAGUUCUGGUCCUGAACUUUGUGAGAGUCUUCAUUGAGGCCACGCUCGCUAGUUGCAUUCUCGAGCAAAGUGUCCAGCUCUAGUCCUGUUGACCAUUCUUCUUCUUUUUUUUUCUAUCGACUGAUGGAUUUUUAUAUUUGGAUACACUUUCACAUUUAAAGCUCAUCCAGUUUUUUUGUUUCUCAUGUCAAUUUCAUUGUCCAAUUUUUCUACACUUUCCUUCCUACCCUGUGUUUCCACUUAAACAAGGUCUGAGAUGAUAUAUGGCCUUCUCCACCUCCCACUUUGCGCAUAGGUAUUCUCCCAAGUACCUUCUGCUGUAUAAAAGUCUCCUCCAUCAAUCUAUCCAUUAAGUUUAGACUAGGGUAAUUUCUAUUAGUUCUAUCGUUAUUUGUUGCAUUGCGAGGCUUCGAAGGCCUUUCAAGAAGUCCAUUGCGGCAUUAAAACCGGUUCAAUCACUAUUGGAUAUUUAAAUUGCCGCCAAAAUCUUGAACCCUUCCCCAAACUUGAUGCAAAAAACAUAAGCAUAAACCAUCAUUAAAUUAUAACGGGGUAUCAACACCACCGUCUUGGAACACUUUGGCCAUAUCAUUUCGCACCUAUCAAACUAAACUGUACAAUGAAGGAUCUUGUUUGAAGGAUCAAUGUCUAAUCGAUAAAAAAUUGCAUUCACAAAAUUAUUGCACUUUAUGUGUGUCUGUCAUGAUAGCCUGAUCAAUAAUAUACAUAACUCCCAUGCAUGAAAAUGGGAUCCAUUGCACGCACCUUAUUCUUCCUACCCCAUCAGGACAUGUCAGACGGUGUUGCUUAUUCAUCUGUACGCAUGUAAUGACUAUUAAAAAGAGGUUUGAAGAGUUGUGACUUUUUAUCUAACACAUUCAAAACAUCUAAUGAACUGAAUACUCCAUCUAUUGAAACUGAUGAAUCAGAUGUUAGAAGAAAUAAAAUAAUACAUAUGUUGCAUCAAAUAUCUCAUCUGUUGCACAUAUAAUCCAUCUGUUGCAACAGAUGGUAAAUCUAUUGCGACAGAUGGACGAUCUGUUGCAACAACUCAAUAAUAACAGUUGUUAUCGAGUCUCAAACCGUUUUAAAAGGUGAGAAGUAUAUUAAUGUAAAAGAAAAAGUCGCUAUUUUUUACUGAAAACAAAAUGCCACCAGUUUGAAUGUAAUUAAUACAAUGGAGCUGAACAGUCAUGCCUUUUGGCCUAAUACGUCCAGAUUCAAUUCUCUAUAAAUAGGUCCCUCCUUAAUCUUCAUUCUACUCAACCUUAUUUACUUCUUGCAUUUUUUCUUUUCGUGUGACAUCUUCAACCACUUUUCUUCAAAGAGCAUAUUCCUUUCUCGUUGAGGUAAUUUUUUUNNNNNNNNNNNNNNNNNNNNNNNNNNNNNNNNNNNNNNNNNNNNNNNNNNNNNNNNNNNNNNNNNNNNNNNNNNNNNNNNNNNNNNNNNNNNNNNNNNNNNNUUAAUGAAAAAUUUACUUUUAGUCGACUUUGACAUUUUAAUUCUUUUUCAGUUUUCAUUCUAUCUAUUUCUUCUAAACAUACAUAUAUUUUAACAUGUCAACGGUUGGAGGCAAGGAGCUAUGUUGAAUCCUGUAGCAAUAGCAAUUGUGGCUUCUUUCAAUAGAUGGUCCAUAUGUUAGAACAGAUUGGUCAUCUGUUGGGUUUCUGUCAACAGAUUAUCCAUCUAUUUUGACAGAUUUGUCAUCUGUUGGAGGAAAACAUUCUAGUUUGAUGGAACUGUUAAGAAUAAUUGUGGUCUGUUGUAUUAUUUAGUUCAUGUUUUGCCUCUUUUUAUUGAUGCACAAGUUAUUAAAAAGAUAUUUUAUAUAUAAUAAAGAUAACAUUAGGUUCACAACAAUGAGUUAAAUAUAUAAAGGUCCACAACAAACAAACAACAACACAAGUUUAUGCAAUUACAACGAUCACGGUGGAUUACGAUUCGGGCAUGUAGUUCUUUUGUAGCCAGCGCACUUACAUAUGGAGCACUUGUUUCUUCUUGAUGAAAAUGAUUCUACAACUCCACGCCUCCUCUUAUAUGACUUUCUUCCCGAUUUGAUAGUGCUUGGGUCAAUAUAUGAGGAGGUAUUAAUCUCCCCAUAAGCUCUGCAAGAACAACCCAAGAUUCUUUGGGAGGCACCGGAGUAAUAUUCCCACUAUAUGCUAUUUCAUAUUUUUUCGCCGAAUAAUAUUGAGAGGAGUGCUCGUAAAAUGCAGUUCCAUAUUUAUGAAUGUAUUGAGAUCGAAGCGCUGCCAUAGCAUGUGGACAAGGUAUUUUAUCCAAGUCAAAAACUCUACACGUACAAGAUCUUAUUUGAAGAUCGACUGUGGCAGUAUCACCAUGAAUGGUGAUACUAAAUUUAUAAUCUGCUAUUUUACGAGAGAAUAACCUAUUCCCCAAACUGACGUUCGUUGAUAUUAUUUUUUCAAUUUCGAGAACAAAUCGGGUUCUUUUUUCUGGAUUCUCGAACUACACACGCCUUUCGUUAAAAAAUUCACUAUACUUCUUGCUUAUUUUUUCAAACAGAGCCUUGAUGGGAAAUUCUCUUUCAUCGUCAAACACUGAAUUCAACGAUUUAGCUAUGCUUGAUGUCAUAAUAUUGUACCUAUACAAAAGAAUCACUUAGUACGACAUCAUACUAAACUUGUAAAUCAAAUAAGACAUUAAAUUCGUAAGAAUGUACCUAUCUGCUGGACAGAAUGCCCGGCUCCAUCGCUCAAAAUCGACACGUGUGAGAAAUUCUGCUACCAUGGGAUUCACAUCCUCUAUUUGAUUAAAAUAUUCUAAAAACUCCUCUCUACUAUAUGCUUUAUCUGCUCUAUAAAAAAGGGUGACGACCCUUUCAUUGUGAUAGUUGUUUCAAAUGUUCUCUCCAAGAUGCCUGAUGCAACAGUCAAAGUAAGCUGAAGUGAAGAAAACUUAACCCAUCUAUGGAAUCCUUGGAUGCCUAUCCAAUACAAUACACAACUCUUCGGUAUCUUCAAUGCAGCUUCGCAGUUGUUAGAAAAAAAUCUGUAAGAGGCAUCACAUUCCUUAUCUGCUACAUAAAAAGCGACAGGAAAGAUGUGAUCCAGCGCCACCACCGUUAGCAGAACUCUAUUAUACCUUGAUACAAGCACGAUCAUAAAGAUGAACAUUUUUGAGCAUUUGGGAUGUAACCUCGGAGGUGUACGAGUUGAAGUGUUAAAAAGGGCUCGAAACCACCCCUAAAAACACUCCAUGGGUGCCUAUUUGCCUACGUGGUCAUUAAAGGACUUUUUUGUCAUUUUAUAUUUUUAUUUGUAAAGUACUAUAAAUAGAACAAUAUAGGGUUUAAUUUCAUUAGUUGUUGAAUAUGGAUGAAAAAACACAUCUCUUGAGAGAGAGAGGGUCUCUUGGUCGAAACUAGGACAUGAACAAGUGUGGAUUCACUUGUGAUUGUGUAUUGCUUAGAAACGUUGGUGCUUGAGCAGUGGAAUCCCUCUUGUGUCAUGUAAGAGUGUGGUGUUGCUAUUGUAAGUCUUAAGGGUCCUUAGAUUUAAUACAUCUUUGGGUUCUUAAUCUUGUAAUAGUAUAUGUCUCACUUCUUAUCCUUACAUUUUAUGUCUUAGUUUGUGUUGUCUAGUGAACCCGUUGGUUCUUGUUGUGCCUUGUAAUGUUGUAACGUUAGAUGGUUGUUAUCCUAGUGUUUUUCUUCUUGUUAUAGUGUUGUUUUUCUCUUGUUGUUGUGGCUGUUUUUGGUGUCAUUUACACCUUGUUCUUGUUCUUGUUGGACCCGAGAUUUUGGUGUUGUUGAGCUCUCGGGUUCCUUCUUAUUUGUGGCCUAUUUUUGUGUUGUUUUUGAUACGUACCAAGUUGAUAUCGUAUCAUACCUGCUCCUUAAGAAGGUACCGUCGACGGCUAUGCCUUUCCUCAAAUGCCGAAAACCUUGAAUCCAAGCACCAUAGGAUGCAAAAAAGUACUUGAACCUUCCAUUUUCAUCCAGAUGCAGUGUCGUCUUACUUCCAGGAUUUGUGGACUCAAUUAUGUAACGGUAGGCACCCAGGACUGCAUACACACGCUCGAGUGUCCCCCUAACUAGGUCCUUGGAAAUCCCCAUUGCUGUAUAUAUCUUCUAAUAACUGACCAGGACACCCAAAUCCAUAAGGAUUUGAUUGGCCAUAACACUUGUUGAAGGGCCUUUGCUAUUGGGAAAACUACUCCUGAAAUAUUCAUCGAGGACCUUUACCGUGGCGUGAGGAUUUUGAUCUGAGAUGUGCUCUGAACCACAUGUGUGAUGCUUUUUAUAUUUAUGAAUGAUGAAUCUGUUAGAACUUGCGUACUUCACCGCUCUCAACCACUACUUGUAGUUCGAAUUAGCAUAUUUGAAGCAAAAGACACUAUUCGAAUUAAUCACCUUCUUUAUUCUGAAAUCUUUUUUCAAGCAAGAAAUAAACAAAGCGUUGGAUAAUUCAUUCUUGUCCUUGAAUGACAUUCCAAUAAAAAAGCCGGUCACAUCAUCUUGAAGAUUUCUUGAUAGUGUCGAUUGAGAAGAAUUGCACAUCGUAUCGGUCGCAUCAACGGGCAUAGGUGUUUGAUCAUCAUCUGGAGUAUUCAUGUCUAGAUCAUCCAACCUAUUAUCAAAGAAGUCUUGUUGUUCUUCUUUUUCUACGUUCUGGUUCUCAUUCUCUCUCGUCUUUUCAACCAUGCACACCCUUAACACCGGCCUGGUUGAAUCACUUAGAUAAGCACGCAACCGAACCUGAUCGGUUAUCUUGAAAGGCAGUACCCUCUGAUUUUCAAAGGAGCUGUGCAUGUAGCUGAUGGCGAGUUAUUUUAGUUGACAAUUCAGUCCACAAAAGCUGAUGAUUAAGUUCACAAAAUCAUCAUAUAAAACAUCACUUUGGACUGUCAUAGUUAUCGUCUCUAGCAUUUUGCACUCCUUCCAACGCCAUACAUAUCAGUUGCUCUUCUCGAUCCAUUGACCAUGAUAAUUCACCCCUAUUGUUAUUGAUCCCUACAUUAUUGGUACCCUACAUUAUUGGUACCUAAAUAAAGUCAUUCAUUAAAAAAAAUUGAUAGUGAUUUCAUAGUUCCGUAAAUGAAUCCCAACAGAUGUGUAAUAUAUUGCAAUUGGUAAGUGAUCAGUCGCAACAGAUCACUUACCUGUUGGGAUUCAUGUUAUGCUCCUGAAUAUCUAUUGCAACAGAUGAAGCAUCUAUUGGGAUUGAUGUUAUAGUACUAAAUCAACUAUGAAGCUGAUUCCAACAGAUGAGUGACAUAUUACAACAGAUAAUUAACCUGUUGUGACAGAUGACUUACCUAUUACAACAGGUUAUUAAUCUGUUGUAACAUAUAUUUACCCUAUUGAAACAGAUAUUUAUUAUGUCGCACCAGAUAAAUAAUCUGUUGCAACGAAUUAGUCAUAUGUUACAACAGAUGACCUAUUUGUUUAAAUAUGAAUCGACAUAUCAGUAUUCUAUUGAAAUAGAUGUCUCAUCUGUCACAACAGAUCUUAUGUUGGAUUCAUGAUUGGGUUCUAUCCAUUAGUGGAAAAAACAACAACACAAUAGCAGUUACCCAGAUGACAAAUUCAACUAAAAAUCAUAAUUUGACUUACCAAGGUCUCCUUAUGAAGUAAUGCCAAAAGUGGAAAGUGACGUUCGAAAUAAAAUUUGACCUAAGAAAUUUGUCAAAUAGCAACAGAGCGGUAACAACAACAACAACAACAACAACAAAUGGUCAACCAGCAGAAGAUGAAGAUGAUAAUGAAGUAGAAGAUGAUGAUAAUGAAGAAGAAGAUGAUGAAUAAAGCAGCAACAACAAUGAACAACAAAAAUCGCUAAGAGAGAGAAAAAAACAAUGGAUGAGAAGAGAGAGAAAGGCACCAUUUUUCCCUCUAUUUUCCAUUAUAUGGGUAAACAUUUGGAUCAAAGUAUAAAUUUAAAAACUUGUGGGCUGUUUUCAAAUUUUCCCAACUUUCUUAAUCCAUAAUAAAGUAAUUGUCACCUCCACUCAAUAAUUAAGACUUGUGUCACCCACACCUCAUUUUAAAAGUCUUUUGUCACCUGUGGCCUAAAGCUCCAAGUUACUGCAGCUGCAAUAAUAUUGUAUUUCUUGGAUCUAAAAACAUAUGAAUUGUUUGGAUGUGAAAUAGUUAUAAAAUAUAAAAGAAUAAUGAUAGAAUAAAUCAAUAACAGAAUGGAAUUUGUACCAAACAUGAGUUACAGUGUGAUGAUUGUGAUCUCGUUAUUAUUAACUUGAGAUUUCAGGUACGAGCCUUUAGGAAUAGAAAAAAUACUACUGGAAGCACCGCAUCUAGAAUGAAUCCUGCAAUGCGUGACAUCAAAUUUAGUCGAACUAUUGUGCGGAUAUCGAACACUGGGUGAGAAACAUAAAAAAAAAUUGUAGUAGGAUAGUUUAUAUACCUUCACCCUUAAUUAGAGAUAUCGGAUUUGAGCCCCCUAAUAAUGAAAAAAAAAAGUCUUACUACAAGCACCGCCCCUAGAGAUAAGUUAUGCAAUCGAAUUUAGUCAGACUUCGAUGAGGAUAGAUACAUUCUGAUUCGAGCCCUAGUAAUGAAAAAGAAAACUUAUAAAACAAUAGCGAAACUAAAAAUAAGUUUUGCAAUACUUGCAUUCAAAUUUAGCGCGACUUCAAUACAGAUACCGAACAUCAAAUUUGGAAAACCAAGAAAAAAAAUUGAAUUGCAUAUUAGUUGUUUUCUAGUGUUUGUAAAGGACCCCAUUUUAAAAGAUAUAAAUUGUAACAUAAAUAAUUUAAGGUUCUCCAAUCUAUCGUUAGUCUUUCCAUUAUGUGUUCCCUUACUUAUUAUCAUCAAGAUUCUUUUUCUCUUAAAUUCAUUUAUUAUUUCCUUUUUUUUUCUUCUAAUAUUUAUUUGUUUUAAAUAUUUUUUUGUUUUACUACUUAGGGUGUGUUCAAAAGUUGUCAUAUGACCAGGAGGUCACGAGUUCGAGUCAGGAAACAACCUUGGAUAGAAAUGCAAGGUAAGACAACAACAAUAAAUCCAUGUGAUAUAUGACUCUGUACUUUAAUCCUUAUACAUACAUAGUCUUUAUAUGGAGGAAAUAAGUUAUAUUCGAACUAAUUUUGAUUUUUUUGUUUGAACAUUUAGUAGUUACUAUAAAUUUAUGAAUAUUUAGCAGCGACGAGAUAAAACAUAUAUAUUUCAGUUGGAUUGAAGGAUAUAUCUGUUUAGUCAUAUAUUACAAAGAUUACAACACAAUUUACCAAUAACGAAAGAUCAAAAAUGUUAUUAACCAAAUUGAAUAUUCUUGAUAAAAAAAAAAAUUAACCUUUUAUAACGUAUUAAAAUGUUUUUUACUGACUACUUUAAUAUGCAUUAUUAUUGUUCUUGGGUCAAGGAUCCUUCCCAAACAGCCUCAUGAAUUCAACAAAUGGAGAUAAGAGUCACGCAAAUUCUAUUCUUCUCAAAUUCUAUAUGUCAAAUUACACUUUAUCGUUCAAAAUAUUGACACUUUUUUUGCGCAAUAUCGUUUUAUGAUGUAGGUUCUGGCUUACAGACCCAGGACCACAGCCAGGCCUUUUAUUAGACCUUUUUUGUAUCAAUUUGUGGUGAGUACUCUUUGCAUCCCGAUUAGAGGACUCAGUGAUGAUUUGUUGGAUUUUCAACUUAUUAGAUAGUUUUAAUUUCAGUUGUUAGCUCCAAUAAAGAUAGUUCGGGGCCAUGACCUAGCAACUCUUUGAAUUCAUGGGUUAUAGAGGCAUUAGAUAUUAGUUAAUUGGAUGUUAUUUCAAGUUAAACUUUGUCAUAUUUAUGGAUAUUUAGCCUGUAACUAAUUUCAAAGUUGAGUUUCUAAAUAGUUUGUCAGGCCAGGGUCCGCUCGGGAUCGCUUAUGGUUCCAGGUGUCAUGUUAAAUCCAAGGUGUAGGCUUGGGGCAUGGAAAAUUAUAUGUCCCUUACUCAUUACCAUCAACAUUCCUUUUCUGCAAAAUUCAUUUAUUAUUUUCUUUUUUCUUCUUAAUGUUUAUUGGUUCUUAUUUUUUACAACAGGGGGUGUUCUCAAGUUGUUGUCAUACGAUCAGAAGGUCACAUGUUAAAGUUGUGUAAAUAAUUUAUGAAUUCAAGGUAAGACGGUACACAAUAGACCUUUGUAGUAUGAUCCUUGCUCAGAUUCCGUACAUAGCGAAAGCUUUAAUGCACCAAACUAUCGUAUGUUCGAAAGGUAAGAUUUUUUACUUGAAAAAUAUUUUCAGAAAAUUAAGUAUUUUAAUUUUAGGAAUAAUAACAUUUUUGGUUCCUCGAUUCUAAAUAAAUUUUGAUCUUUGUCCUUGUGAUAUAUGAUUCAUCAUAUUUAAUCAUAAGUAAAUAUAAUUUUUUUUUGUCUUUUUACAGAAGAAAUACGGUAUAUUUGUACUACAAUUAGAACUCACCAUAUGGAGUGACAAUAUAAGCUUAAUGUAUCACAUGGAUAGUUAAGUAGCGAAACAUUUAUCAGUAAAUUUAUGAAUAUUUACUAGCAGACGAAAUUAAAGUGUAAGUUCGAAUUGAUUGAAGGUUAUCACAAGGAUCAAAAUUAGAAUUUAUCAAUAACUGAAGACCAAAAUAUUAUUUGACCGAAAUAAAUGUUCUUCAUAUAAAUUUUGGGAACAAAAAUUCAAAGGAAGAACCAUCCAUGUUUGUUUAUCCUUCAUCUACUCCUUAUGUGAUUAUAUUUAAUACAACACGAAAUUUAAGAAAGGAAAAAAUUAUAAAUUUAUUGUCUAAAAUUUAUGAUAAGAAGUUUAACAGAAAUUACUAAGGUUCACGUUUAAUGGACCAAUAAUGAAAUACCAUAGUCUUCUUGUAUAGGAACUUUAAUAGGUCUGCAUUCAAAGGCGAGUCUAGAGAAUUUGAGUUCUAGAGUUCGAUCGUUAAUGGUGAUAUAUCAAAAAAAAUAUCUCUACCUUCUACAGGUAGAGGUAAUACUGCACAUAUACGUAUUAUCCGCUCCUGACCGACUUACGAGAGUAUACUGGGUAUGUUGCUGGUGAGUUCAAUCCCUUGAAGGGGAAAAUUACGUUAUAAGACCAUUCUUAAGACUUGUAUUGUUCCUAUCUCGUAUUAUACUAAUAGACGGCCAACAGCAAUUCUUUAUGGAGUAUGAAUAAGUAAAAUAUUGUACUGUGCAUACAUACAAUAUCUCAUCUAUUCUUAUUAAAAAUCACAAGUACCGUCGGUCCAUUACGACCCAAUUUUCACCUCAAGUUUGUUGUCCCCCGUAUUUUCUUCAACAUCUUCCUUAAUCUUGAGUGCAGACUCUUUAAGCUGAUGGCUUCCCAGCAGUACGAUGGACUUUAACGAAGCAAUAUCUCCAAAACUCUCUGGAAUCUCUAUAAGCUCAGUACAAUAUUGUAUAUAUAAUUCCUCGAGCACGGGAAAUGAUUCAUCUCCAGUAACCUGCCAUUCAGAAAAAGACACCUUAUACAGUAGUAGAGAUUUGAGAUUGUGGAAGGUGACAUGUUCCAUGUUCCAUUCUUUUCCCCCUUCGAUGCGUGUUCUCCAUAGGUUCAGCUUUUGAAGGUUGGGUAGUGAUCUCCCAAUUCCUGACAGUGCAUCUGAUGUCAGAUUGAUGCCAUACAAAUUAACUUCUUUCAAGCUCGAAGGGAAGUGAAAAUCAAACUGAUGUACAUGUCUAAGACGCCCACAGCACUCAAAUUGAGCAUAAACUCUUUCAAGUUUAUUAAAGACAUCCAAUCUUGAAAAAUAUAUUUGCUCUGCUGCUGAACAAUCCAUGCGGAAUCCAAGGAUUCGAAGAUUGGGAAACCUUUUGAAAAUAUCUGAUGAGUCUACUGAACAGGAAAGCUUGAGAUACUUUAAUGAUGUUAGAUUCUCUAGCUGUGUUGGUUUGUCAAUAUACGAGUCAAAGACAGAACAAUUACAGACGUACACAUGUCGUAGCUUUGCAAGACUCCAGAUGGUAGGGGAUAAUACCAUGUCUGGUACCCAAUUAGUCACUUCCAGAAUUUCAAGAUUGCAGAGGUUUGAAAAUGACGGAGGGAGGGCUUUUGCCUUCAUCUCAAUCCUUAAGCACCUCAAAUGAACAAGCAUCCCUAUUUCAUUCAGCACAGUAUCUGUCAAAGUUUCCUUUUCUGUCAAUCGUACUCUCCCCAGAUCCAACCUUUUAAGAAGCCUCAAGUGUCUUAGGUGACAGUUAUAGGGAAGGUAGUUACAUUUCAAAGAGAGUAGGUGCUUAACAUAAGGAUUUCUCUUUUUUGGACUAAAAAAGGAAGAGGUAUCACCAGAAUGACGGCGUUUAUCAUAAAUAAUGGUCCGUCUACGCAGCAUCAGAUCUGAAGAAAAGGAUGAAGACAGAACAACUGAGCUCGUCAAAUCAAACAGUUUUUCCUUUCUAGCUUUUAUUGAACAAAAAUCAUGCACAAGAUCAUGAAUUUGGCAACUCUGUUCGCUACCACCUUUCACUAUUACCAAGCUACUAGAAAUUAACUCAUCCACAUAAACCUCUGUCACUUCUUCCACACUCUUCAAAUCACUUGGUUCCACAAGUCCUUCAUCACUCCAUAAAUCUUUCAGCCAACAGAUAUAAAUAUCUUCGUCCUUUGGAUAACUUGCAAGGUACAGAAAGCAUGGCUUUAUGUGAUCUGACAAGUGGUCAUAACUUAAUUGUAUAACCUUCAUCACUUCCUCUUCAUCCUUAAAAAUAAAGGAACUCAAAUUAUUGAGAACUUCAAGCCACAAAGCCUCUUUCUUUUCCUUCCUUGAAAUAACUCCGCUGAUCAAAUCAAGUACCAAAGGAAGCCCACCACACUUUUGGGCUAUUUUUUCUCCAACAUCCUUUAGUUCAUUAGGGCAAUGUUCUUCUCCGAAUACCCUUUUCUCUAACAACUCCCAACUUUCUUCUGGUCUUAGCAAUCGAAGAUCAAGAGGAUCACUGUGGCAUUUUCCAUGCAAAGCCACUUCCUUUUUUCGACUUGUUAAAAUAACUCUGCUUCCUUUCUGAAAUUCAGUUGGAAUGGCAUAUAAUGGCCUUGUUAGCUCAUCCCAUGUUGCAGUAUCCCACAAGUCAUCCAAGACAAUAAGGUACCUCUUUCCAAACAGAUGUUUCCGUAGCUUAUCAGCAACAUCAUCGUCUAUGUCAUCCUCACUGACUCUUUCUUUCAAACCAAUUUCAUUGAAAAUUUUUUGCAACAACUUUUUCUCAUUACGUUCCUGGUCGACUGUGCACCAAGCACGAAUGUCAAAAUGACCAACAACAGACUUAUCAUUAAAUACUCUGUAAGCCAAAGUAGUUUUUCCAAGCCCCGGCAUGCCGACUAUGGAAAUGACAUCUACCUCAGAUGGUCCGCUGGUGAGCUUCCUAAUUAUCCACUCUGUCUCCUCCUCAAAACCUACAAUUAUUUUACUAGCUGUUGAUGACUUGUUUUCAACUGGCUUGUUAGGAGAGUUUGCAAAAAUGAUACACGUGUUCUUGGAGAUCUUCUCUUGUAACUCUUUUUUGACAAGCUUGAUCUUUUCUACGGUAUCAGGAAGUAAGAAGAUAAGCUGCAAGAGACCUUGAUCUCUGGCAAGAAUUGAGUUAAUGGCAUGUUCCGCCUGAUAUGCCACAUCUAGAACACGAGUCCAAAGAUCUCUAUACAAUACUUGCUCCACAUUCCCGAAGAAUGAUCUUAUGUGUUCUAGGUGUUCUUUCACCCGACCAAUUUCUUCUUUUAUCAAAACAACUGAAUAAGCAUUGGAAUUGAGCAAGUCAUUUAAAUGUCUAAAUAGAAGAGUCAUGAAGAGCUGUCCAUCACUCAUGGGGAAGCAGAGCUGAGAUGAGUCUGCAGG
RNAcentral lists this long non-coding RNA (39488 nucleotides) under Capsicum annuum. RNAcentral describes it as "long non-coding RNA (CANN_LNC008971)". The record is from RNAcentral. Lineage: Eukaryota; Viridiplantae; Streptophyta; Magnoliopsida; Solanales; Solanaceae.